GACGAACGCUGGCGGCGUGGAUUAGGCAUGCAAGUCGGACGGUAGAGCUUUAUCGUAAGAUAGAGUUUGAGAGUGGCGAACGGGUGAGUAACACGUAGGAAUCUACCCUUAAGACGGGGACAACCCAGGGAAACUUGGGCUAAUACCGGAUGAGAGUGCGAGAGAUUGCAUUUAAAAGGAUGGCGAAAGUUGUCGCUUAGGGAUGAGCCUGCGGUCUAUUAGUUAGUUGGUGAGGUAAGAGCUCACCAAGGCGAUGAUAGAUAGGCGGCCUUAACGGGUGGUCGCCCACACUGGGAUUGAGAUACGGCCCAGACUCCUACGGGAGCAGCAGUCGAGAAUAGUCUACAAUGGCCGGAAGGCUGAUAGUGCGACGCCGCGUGAACGAGGGACGCCCGUUCGGGGUGUAAAGUUCUUUUCUAUACGAGCAGUGCUAUAUAUAUGGAUAGUAUAUAUAGAGGAUAGUAGUAUAGGAAUAAGCAACGGCUAACUCCGUGCCAGCA
Molecule: ribosomal RNA, 500 nt
Filed under: uncultured bacterium
Lineage: Bacteria
Description: bacterial SSU rRNA
Rfam family: Bacterial small subunit ribosomal RNA
Source: RNAcentral